GGUCGAUUAGCUCAGUCGGUAGAGCAUGGUACUAAUACAUUAUGUGUCAAUGCCAGGGUCGAGGGUUCGAGCCCCUCAUGGACCA
Melampsora americana is the source of this 85-nucleotide non-coding RNA. NCBI's taxonomy places the organism in Eukaryota, Fungi, Basidiomycota, Pucciniomycetes, Pucciniales, Melampsoraceae. The record is from the annotation of a GenBank genome assembly.